CCAACUGUAUAGAAAGAGACGACUCUGUCGCUUGUCCUCUUCUCUUUUUCUUCGGGCAUCAGCGACAACAUUGACGGACGACGUGUUCGACUUCACCGUGCACCUGUACAGUGCUCUCCAAGGCACAAGGAGGCACCGCAGGGGGAAGGCUCGGAGCAAACCAUGCCUCUGUUGCUAUGGAUCCUGCGGGUCCAACUUGGCAUCCGGC
Rhipicephalus microplus (southern cattle tick) is the source of this 208-nucleotide long non-coding RNA. The record is from RefSeq and is a predicted model, not a curated record. NCBI's taxonomy places the organism in Eukaryota, Metazoa, Arthropoda, Arachnida, Ixodida, Ixodidae.